AUUGAACGCUGGCGGCAGGCUUAACACAUGCAAGUCGAGCGGGGUGAUGGUGCUUGCACUAUCACUUAGCGGCGGACGGGUGAGUAAUGCUUAGGAAUCUGCCUAUUAGUGGGGGACAACAUCUCGAAAGGGAUGCUAAUACCGCAUACGUCCUACGGGAGAAAGUAGGGGAUCACUUGUGACCUUGCGCUAAUAGAUGAGCUCAAGUGGGAUUAGCUAGUUGGUGGGGUAAAGGCCUACCAAGGCGACGAUCUGUAGCGGGUCUGGGAGGAUGAUCCGCCACACUGGGACUGAGACACGGCCCAGACUCCUACGGGAGGCAGCAGUGGGGAAUAUUGGACAAUGGGGGGAACCCUGAUCCAGCCAUGCCGCGUGUGUGAAGAAGGCCUUAUGGUUGUAAAGCACUUUAAGCGAGGAGGAGGCUCUUUUGGUUAAUACCCAAGAUGAGUGGACGUUACUCGCAGAAUAAGCACCGGCUAACUCUGUGCCAGCAGCCGCCGUAA
Molecule: ribosomal RNA, 503 nt
Filed under: uncultured bacterium
Lineage: Bacteria
Description: partial 16S ribosomal RNA
Rfam family: Bacterial small subunit ribosomal RNA
Source: RNAcentral